AGAAAAUUAGAAGGGAUCUUUACUUUGAGACACAAAACUCCUUGUACUGUACAACUUUCAAAGGAAAAAGUGGGAUCUCAACUUUCACAAAAUAGUAUGACUGUAAUUCAAAUAAUUUAAUAGCAAAUUACAAGUGCCUAGGGCAGGAUAUGGACCUCGAAGUACGAGAGCUAUAGUGGCAUUGGUAUGGUAAAUCAAUCAUAAACUGCUUCUUUUCCUAGGCUGCACCAUCAGUACCAUUUUUGUGCUGUUCACUACCAUCAGAGUCUUGGAUCCCACAAGAGGUUAACUUCAUUCAAGAUCUCAACCACCAAGAGAUGCACAGACAGCAAGCAGGCAUGGAUCUGGACAACAGAGCAGUCACAGAGGGCUGUUAGAAGACAAAAGGAUGAAGAACCUCAGAGACAAAUCUCUGGAGAUGGGAUAAUCAAGUGUGCUGCUGAGCAGGG
RNAcentral lists this long non-coding RNA (449 nucleotides) under Parus major (Great Tit). RNAcentral describes it as "lncRNA (ENSPMJG00000009727.1)". The record is from RNAcentral. Lineage: Eukaryota; Metazoa; Chordata; Aves; Passeriformes; Paridae.